RNAcentral lists this unclassified non-coding RNA (258 nucleotides) under uncultured fungus. Its description in RNAcentral is "sequence contains ITS1, 5.8S rRNA gene". The stretch from base 210 to 258 matches the Rfam family "5.8S ribosomal RNA", at positions 1 to 49 of the family's 154-position model. Lineage: Eukaryota; Fungi. The record is from RNAcentral.
UCUCCGUUGGUGAACCAGCGGAGGGAUCAUUACCGAGUUGCAAAACUCCCAAACCCACUGUGAACCUAUACCACUGUUGCUUCGGCGGAUACGCCCCGGGCGCACCCCCUCCAGGGGGUUGUGCCCCGGAACCAGGCGCCCGCCGGGGGACCUACAAACUCUUGUAUUCCUAGCGGAUCUCUGAGUGUGAUUUAAACAAAUCAAAUCAAAACUUUCAACAACGGAUCUCUUGGCUCUAGCAUCGAUGAAGAACGCAGC